GGAGAGCCGGGUCGAUUGAAACACGGGACGAUUGAAACACAGCGAUUUCCUCGAGAACCACGCAAGGCUUUCACAGACCGCUAACUAAAAUCCUUCCUGCGGUAGUUUUUUUGUAAUAAAUAGUUGUGUUUUUUGUCUCAUGCCAUAAUAAUAUGACUAUACAACAGAUGAAUUAGUACUUAAACCUGUGUUAAAGUGUGCGAUGUCAGAGUUUUGAAGUUUAGAGGUAAAAAAGGUUUAAGUGUCAGUAGUCGCUGUCGGGACGAUUGAAACACUUGUUUCAAACGCAACAGGAGUCAUGUUAUCCGGUUGACGUGGUAGUUUUUGUUUAAAUAAAUAAAAGGAUGUUCAACUGUGUAUCCUUAAACAUGACUUAGGACAGGGUAAUAAGUAAAUUUAAUGCAAAUUUA
Gadus macrocephalus (Pacific cod) is the source of this 410-nucleotide long non-coding RNA. RefSeq lists it as uncharacterized. The record is from RefSeq and is a predicted model, not a curated record. The transcript has 2 exons. Lineage: Eukaryota; Metazoa; Chordata; Actinopteri; Gadiformes; Gadidae.